UAUAAAUUAUAUGUUUAUAAAUUAUAUAGUGAUAAGAAUGGAGUAUUCACUAUACUAGUAUAUUCCAAUCAAGAUGAUCAAAGUAUAGACUUACACAUCAAGUGACGUCAAAAUAUUGAAGGUUGAAGGAACCUGCUGGCACAAUAUACAUAUAUAAAGUGACGUAAGCAAAAGAUUUCUUUAAACAACGGGAGAAGGAGUAUGAAUAUACUCAAAAGAGAAUCUAACGUUGACCUUCCAUGUAAAGAUUCACAUGUUCUUUUCGGUAAAAACGCAACUCGGAAAAAAAUACAACUUAAUGGCUGUUUUAUACAUAUACAUAAAUAUCUGAAAUUAUUCUUGAGAUGUUAAUUAGACAGAAAAACAGUGUUAAAAAACGGGCAAAGUGGCAGAAAUACGUGAAACGUAUUAAAAUAAAGCUAUAUGGACCGAAUGCAGUCAAGCAAUAAUAAUCACCGCAUUAUAUUCAUUCGUUCACCGGAUAGAGCAUAUCCGGUCCUUGAAUAAUGCUUGUGGUCAAAGAUACUAUACUAAGCAACUUUCAAAAGGAAAAAUAGAAAAUGAUUAUGAAACAAAGUGUGCUUACCAUCACCCCAUGGGAAAGGCUAGGAU
Molecule: long non-coding RNA, 612 nt
Organism: Apis florea (little honeybee)
Lineage: Eukaryota; Metazoa; Arthropoda; Insecta; Hymenoptera; Apidae
Source: RefSeq, a predicted model, not a curated record